This 468-nucleotide ribosomal RNA is filed under the name uncultured bacterium. RNAcentral's name for it is "partial 16S ribosomal RNA". It matches the Rfam family "Bacterial small subunit ribosomal RNA", at positions 28 to 507 of the family's 1533-position model. The record is from RNAcentral.
GACGAACGCUGGCGGCGUGCUUAACACAUGCAAGUCGAACGGAAAGGCCCUGCUUUUGUGGGGUGCUCGAGUGGCGAACGGGUGAGUAACACGUGAGUAACCUGCCCUUGACUUUGGGAUAACUUCAGGAAACUGGGGCUAAUACCGGAUAGGAGCUCCUGCUGCAUGGUGGGGGUUGGAAAGUUUCGGCGGUUGGGGAUGGACUCGCGGCUUAUCAGCUUGUUGGUGGGGUAGUGGCUUACCAAGGCUUUGACGGGUAGCCGGCCUGAGAGGGUGACCGGCCACAUUGGGACUGAGAUACGGCCCAGACUGCUACGGGAGGCAGCAGUGGGGAAUAUUGCACAAUGGGCGGAAGCCUGAUGCAGCAACGCCGCGUGCGGGAUGACGGCCUUCGGGUUGUAAACCGCUUUCGCCUGUGACGAAGAGUGAGUGACGGUAAUGGGUAAAGAAGCACCGGCUAACUACGUG